UUUAAAAGGUAAGGGUAUUUUGAAGUGCAAACGGUUAGGGGUUGUAACUUUUCGGCAACAUGGAAAAUUUGAAAAGAUGUUGUGUCAGUUAUGAUCAAAGUGAUUAGAGAGAUAUUAUUAUUAAAUACAAGAUCAGAGAACAAUUUUCACUUACUCUCUUCCAUUUUCCUACUCUCAAGCAUCUUCUUCUAGUUUUAAUAGAAAAAAACCCCAACUUUGCUCUCAUCUCAUUUCUCUGUCGCAUAACAACUCUUGGUCAUGAUCAAGCUUUGAAAAGAUUUCUACAAUGCUUCUCAUUCUUUCCCAUUAAGCAGAAUGAAGAGAAAGCCAUCAUCAAAUGACCAAAAUGACGGCAUUCCCAGCAAGCGUGCAAAAAACAGCAAAAAAGGAAAGGCGAAAAUUGAAGAUUAGGAAGGGUUGGACAAGCAUACUUUAGAUUUUCUUAUUUCUCAUCUUAUGAGUAGGGCGAAAACUAUGAUAGCAGAAGGGAGCAAGCGGCGAAAACAACCUCAAAAAACAAAGGCACAAACUCAAGAAAAGGAGGCUGAGGAAGAAGACGAGCCAAAGGCCGAUGUGAAAAAACAUGGUACAGUUCAAUGUCGAUGCUCCGGUGAAAAGAUCGUAUUUGUUGUCAAACAAAUGGAUGAUCUACAAAAGAAAUCCAUUAAUGAUAUAGGCUUUGGUUGUCUCCUCUUCAAGCAGGUGCCUACAGUCAGGGGCCAUUUGCUCUGGUACCUGUUUUAGCGGUUAGACCCCGACACUAUGAAUCUCACCAUUGAUGGGGUGACUAACCCUGUCAUAGUUCAAUCCCUUCAGGAAAUACUUGGUUUCAAAGAUGGUGGUACACCGAUCGAUCCAUUAAUACUUAGUGAAGAUUUUUUUUUAAAUGGCAGAAUUCGUGGCAAGGAAUGGGCAUAUGAUAAAAGUAUCCACAUUGAUAAAGAAACUGAGUUCAACAAAAGAUACAGACAAUGUUUUUGUGAUCUGUUUUAUGAUGCUUGCUCUAGGUUUUUUCUUGUGCCUUUCAUCAGGGUACUUUGUGAACAGAGAAUUUCUGACCAUAUUAUAAGAUGUUGACAAGAUAAAGGAUCUAAAUUGAGCCA
Long non-coding RNA from Humulus lupulus (European hop), 1103 nucleotides. RefSeq lists it as uncharacterized. The record is from RefSeq and is a predicted model, not a curated record. The transcript is spliced from 3 exons. NCBI's taxonomy places the organism in Eukaryota, Viridiplantae, Streptophyta, Magnoliopsida, Rosales, Cannabaceae.